This 300-nucleotide long non-coding RNA is filed under the name Hordeum vulgare. RNAcentral's name for it is "long non-coding RNA (HVUL_LNC018716)". Lineage: Eukaryota; Viridiplantae; Streptophyta; Magnoliopsida; Poales; Poaceae. The record is from RNAcentral.
UUCUAAGGCAAGGACAGUUUUAGCCUUGCCUACCAAGGAUAUGUGUUUGGUGGAGUAAUGAUUUUUUUGCUUUUGGAGGCAAGCUAGCUCGUAACUGCAGCUAAAUCCUUGCCUGGCUGGGAGAGCCAAAUUGACUCUCUCGCGAUGGCAAACUAGUGAAUCGUGGGUGAGACCAGUCAUGUAACUGUAAACUGGGGCAACACAACCAAACAACAUCGCUUAGCUCAUGUGGGCUAUGGCACAAACGGGCUAGUUUAAUUUAGCCUGGCUAGGCGAGACUAGCAAAUUAUCCAAACGUAC